RNA transcript from Bombus terrestris (buff-tailed bumblebee), 5999 nucleotides. It is a transcript of the gene named RNA polymerase II-associated protein 3, with no coding region annotated. Lineage: Eukaryota; Metazoa; Arthropoda; Insecta; Hymenoptera; Apidae. The transcript has 13 exons. The record is from RefSeq and is a predicted model, not a curated record.
CGAAAUUUGUUGAAAGUUGUGUCCGUGAUAAGUGCUGCGUAGGCUAGAAUUAAGGAUUUGUUGUUCAAAAGAUUAAGAAUUUCAAUGCAAAUCGUUAAAGCAAAAGUUAUCUUGAUAUAUAGAAAUUCAUUGCGAAACUUUUCUACGUGUGACAAGAAGGAGCAGAACAUAACCUAAAUUUGCGAUUGACGUUUUAUCUUUUCUUACAAUUAUUAUAUUAAAUACAGUUGUACGGGAUGGAUAAAUCGAUCUUAAUGCAAAAGCAGGUGAAGGAUAAUGCAGAAGAUCUACAGAAAGAAUUUCUUGAUAUGAAAAAUUGGGAGGAACAAAUGAGAUGUAAAGAUGAGCAAUUACGGAAAGAAAAAACUGGUCAGAUUACUUUACCGCCAAUUAGAAGUAAACAUAAAAAUAAAACCAAAAAUCCCCCUACAAAGAAAGAUCAAGGUGAUAAUAAAUCAAAAAGGAUUAAAUCACACGAUUAUUCUGCUUGGGAGAAAUUUGAUGUAGAUAAAGAAUGCAGAAAAAUAGAUAAUAACGAGCAAUCAGAUGAUUCUGAAGAUGAACAUAUGUCUAAAGAAGAAUUAGAGAAAGCACAUGAAAAAGCAACAAAACAUAAAAGCGAAGGCAAUAUUUUGGUGCAACAACAGAAAUGGUCUGAAGCAGUUGGCUGUUAUACAAAGGCUAUAAAACUAUUUCCAUAUGAUGCAGUAUUUUACGCAAAUCGUGCACUCUGUCAGUUAAAACUAGACAAUUUUUAUUCUGCUGAAUCUGAUUGUUCAACUGCACUUCAAUUAGAUGGGAGUUAUGUAAAAGCUUAUCACAGAAGAGCAACAGCUAGAAUGAAUCUAAAGCAAUAUAAAGAAGCUAAACACGAUUUAGAAAAAGUUUUGAAAUUAGAACCUUCUAAUAAGGAAGCCAAAUUGUUGAUAAAUCAAAUUGAAAGCAAGAUUAAAUGUUCAGAGACAAGUACUAUAGCGAAGGAAGGUACAAAAAUGUCAACAAUUGAGAAAAAAGAUAUUAAAAAGACUACGAUUGAAAAGAAGAUUUCUGAAAAAACGUGGGACGAUACUGCAUCAAAUGUACAAACAACAAAAACCAAGAAUAUAAUAAACGCUAAAAAUAUGGAGAAGAGCAAAGAUAAUAAAAGUGUUGUAAAUAUUAAAGAUAGUACAGAGAAUAAAAAAGAUAAUGUGAUUGAUACUAAUGCGAAAAGGGAUCCACGUAUUCCAGAUUGGUUACCAGAGAAAGAUGAAGUCGUUGUAAUAGAACCGAUAGAGAAGCCUCCUCAUUUACGUUCAAAGAAAUCAUUGACGAAAAUACCUAUCCAAGAAGUGGAAUUUGGUAUCGAUCGGUAUAAGUAUACUAACGGCAAAACAGCAUAUAGCAGAGAUGAUCCUGUACAAACAAAAGAACCUCAUAAAGAUCCCGUGCAGAAAAUGGAACCGCAUAAUGUUGCGAAAGAUAAUACUUGUAUCAAAGUUUCUGAACCUCUGGAUGAUAUUAGUGGUAUUGUACCUGCAAUUCCCAAAACAGCCGUACAGUUUUUAAUGAAUUGGAAAAGAAAUAAUUCACCAGAAUUUAGAUACAAGUAUCUGAAGCAAUUAUCAGAGGGUAGUUUACCUAGAAUAUUUCAAGAUUCAAUGGAAUCGGAUAUUUUUAGCCAAAUAAUAGAAGUUUUGAGAACGAAAUUCGUAGGAAGGAAAAAUCAGAUAUUCUACUACUUAAGAGAUCUCAGUCGAGUUAAGCGAUUUAGAGCACUCAUCAUGUUUACUAGUAACAGUGACAAAGAAACCAGAAACACGAGCAAAAGAUACGUUACUGCUGAGACGAUAUCGUGAAGAAAUCGAAACGGUGGUUUUCUUAGUAAUUUUUCGGUUUUACAUCGUCCGCCAUUGUUAAUCACAAAUAAAACAUAUCACUGGUUACACUGCCUUUCUCACAACCUUGCUGAAGCUUUGUGUGCAUCAAAUGGUUACUUGGCAACCAAUAUAAGUAUAAGAGAAUGGAAAAAAAUAAAUAUCGAUAUAAAUACAACUACUCGGAUCAAAAACGAUCAUUCAGAGAAUUAAUCUUAUACCACUGAACGAAUUCUUCUCUUCUUCGUCUUUAAAAUGCCGUUGGCAUCUGCUCAACUUCCUGUUAUCAUUCAGGCUAAUAACUGGACGACGAUGAGUGGAUGGAGGAGAAGAGCGGACUACGAAACCUGGAUACUGGUGUGCAAUCGUAUAGUGGAAAGGGAAUCGGAUAAAUCAACGGACGUCGAGGCGUUAGCGUUUUAUAGUGCAUUAAUUAGUCCGUGAUGAGGAGGCGGAUAAAAAGUUUUUACAACGUUAUAAAUGCAAAAGGUGGAUAGGAUCGUUGGUAAGACUCGUGGGACGCGAUUCGCCAUUUAAUUUCACCUUCUUUUUACGCUGACCAUCGUCCGUGUCGUAUUUUACAAGGCUUCGCGGAUCAGGCCGAAAUUACACCGAGGCCAGAACAGCGACAGACCAACACGACCGCCGGCCAAAUUAUUAUUACGGCAAAAACCGAGCAGGAAGUUGCGUUCUUAUCUUUCGUAAAAAUCUCGGGGCGAAACGCGAAACGCGAAAUUGCGCGAAUAAAUGUCGGAUUCCCCGCUGGUCUCUUGUCUCCGCGACGAUGGCGCGAACGUGCAAAGUUAUCGAGCAUGAAGAUCGUCCGACGGAGGUUCCACCGAUCCAAGAAAAAAGGCCGUAACAUUCGAUAUUCGAACGGUCGUGCCACUUUUUUCCGUCCAGCGAUCUUUUUUUUUUCUGCGGAGAGAAACGAGUCCCGUCCAGUGAUUGUUUUAGAUACUUGUUUUUUAAUCUCUUGAUUUACGACCUUCCUUCUAAGUAGUUACUUAAGAGGUUGUUAUAAUUAAUCGUCACUGUAAUAUAUACGACGAUCGGACUGUGAAUGAAACAUAUAAAAUAUCCACGUUUCCUAUUCCACAUUUCUAUCGAGCAUCGUAACUCGAAAACUGGAAAAUCAUUUUCUGCGUACAUUCCAUUUUCUUAAUCGUACAUAAAACUCCGUCGUCAAUGGAGAACGAUCAUUUGUUAACUAGCCAAUAACGAUUAAACGUAUAAUCGGUACCUUGCAUUGCUAAAGGCUGAAAAAGCUCGAUCAACCGACUAAAGAGCAGCUUUUUCUCGCACGAUCGCCGGAAUCGCCGAUCUUUCUCGUUUCGCUAGAAGAUGAAAAAGAAAAAAGAAAAAAAAUGGUGAAUCGCUAUACGUAUAAGUUUAAUCGCUGGGUAUAGCGGUCGAAGAGGAAAAUCUCGGACGAGGAAUCGAAGACGGUCGAUAAGACCAGGGAAAGAACGAAGCGGGACUAAUCGUAAGAGAGAAAGGAGAAGGAAGAAGAAGAGGACGAGCAAGACAAAAAAAAAAAAAAAAAAAAAUAAAAUAAAAAAAAAAUAAAAAAAGAUAUGCGAAAUAGCGUAUCGAUGCAUACCGACACGUAAGACCGUGUGUAGGCCAUAAACUAGCGGGGGUAGAAAGAUAUUUAUGCGACGGCUGGCGAGCAUAGAAGAGCGAAGAAGGAUUAUAUCUUCGGAUACGUAAUAACGGUUAGCUUGGAAUUAGCGAACUAAUGCGGGCAAGCGCGUCGAUCGGUAUCGCGUUUGCCAUUUAGGCCCUAACCAAACUAUACACCUGCCCUACCUGUAAUCACGAUCCAUCUACGCUAACAGAUUUUUUCUCUCCUUCCUUCUCCAUAUUUCCCUCUUCUUUGCGCACGAGGGACACGCGAUGCGACGAUCUCUCUUUUUCGCUCUGCAGUCGAUCCUAAAUCGCAUGUAUUCGUAAUUGAAAUGUACGAGCGAUACUUACGCCCUUCGUAUGGCUCUCUUUAAAGCCGCGUUAACAGCUAAUCGGCUGGUUAAUGGCUGAUAAGAUUUUCACCCGACUCACUGGAUAAUUCGUAAUGCGUUUAUACGAAGAUGCCGAGGGUCGAACGAGGACGAGAGGACGGUUUUACGAUUGAAUCAUCGAUUUUACGAUGAACAAUUUGCUAGCUAUUAGGCACUAGGUGUAUGGCUGGUUGGCAUUAUAUCCGUUAAACAUAGAUUAUGAUACGUACAUUUUUGGAAAUAAGUGGCGACAAGUAGAUAAGUAGAUAUUUAUGGAUUUAUGGAUUUACAUGGGCGAAAGUGUCCAGAAUGUGUGAAAGUUACGGUACUUAUAUAAUAAACGAAACGAGUUUCCGUUUAAGUUUCAUUCUUUUAAUCGUAUUCAUAGGAAUAUGAGAUGUGAGCGAGGAACGUUGAAAUUAAGGAGAAUUCUUGAAUUAUCAAAUCUCUAAAAUGAAAGUAUCCUUCGCGAAAAGAAAUUCGUAUUUCGUUUUACUUUCAAAGAGUUCUUAUUACCUUACGAUAGAAGUUAAAAGUCGCAUUUUUUAAAUCCUAUUCCGCUCUACCCACGCCAUCGUUCUACCACGCGUUCUAAUUAUAUCGAUCGCUAAUGUGGCAGGCAUUUUUUGACGCAAAGAUCCGCGUUCGAUCGUAAAUCAUUCUGCCUCGAUCAAAUAAAGUCUCAGUUCGGAUACUUAAACGUUUAAUUGCUCGAGUAAUUAAGGCGAUACAACGUAUGCGUCGAUGAUAGCUAAAUCGUUAAAAGGAAUGAAAAAGCAAUCCUCCCUUCGUUUCAACUGCAAUCUCGAUACCGCAGCUUGUUUAGAAGUCUUACAAGUCGUGUUAAUAAUCUACUUAAACGUUGAACGAGGGAAACGAGGAGAAGGAACGACGGCAAGUGGAACCCGAGAGGCAAAAAGCACGGCGGACAGUGCGAUAUAAUUAAACUCGUUUAAUAACAGGUCUAUAGAUCUCGCCUCUCGAUUCGCCGUAUAAAAUUCUUCGUUAAUUACUGUCAAACUGGCUUCUAAAUCGUAAUUUAGCCGACGCCUCGAGCGUCCGAUCGCUCGUGGAAGGAAUCAAGGAGGAGCAGCAGAAGAAGAAAGAAGGAGCAAGCGCGAAAGAAACGACGCGAGCGCGCGUGCACGCGCAAAGAGAAUAAGAAAGGAGCGAUUUUAAUUUUGACCAGCGAACGACUCGUCUUCUGAUCUCGCCGACGGUAGCUGACCUCGUAAUAAACGUUCGAGAAAAGAUAACGAGAGGCUGGCAUAAAUGUCAUCGUAUAUAUCUGAAACAGCCGAUAUUCAUAGCGCCGAUACGUCAGUUUUGCCAAGACUCGUUCGGUCGAUGGCUGAUUCGCUGACGUUCCGAAUCUGUAUUUCUGUCGUUUCGCGUUAUACGUAUAUGACUAUCGUGCGACGAUUUCGUUUCGAUCGUGCGCUCGCGUUUCUCUAUCGUUCAGAGACGCUUUAAGUUUGCGCAAGGUACGAGAAAGUCGUUGUUGAACAAAUUUAUAUUAAAAAAGGAGUUACGUUAAUUACUUUAAAGAAUAAAUUGCGGCGAUAAAAAUGCGCUGCAAGGACAACGAAGAAGCGGAUAAAGCAAAAAAAAAAAAACGAAAUCACAGUGUAAGGACGUUAAAAAAGAAAUUUUAGCAACAAUAAAACAGCGCAAGGACAACGGGCGAGUAAUAUCGGUAAUUAUAAAAAGUGGUACAAGGGCGUUAAAAAACAGAUGCAGCAAUAAAUAAAGUUAGCGCAAGAAUACCGAAAGGAGGACGGACAAUGAGAAUAAAAGUAAAAUUCAAGAUACCAGCGAUAGAACCAAAGGCUAACGAAGCUGAAGAAAACGACGGAUAAUUUCCAACAUACCUAUAUAUACCACGAUAGAUAGAUAAUUCCAAGCAGAGGUGGAAAUAGAAAUUGAACAUGGCGAAAUCGAAAUUUUAACACCGCGAUAUCGACCACCAUAGAAACCUCGGAAGGAGUUAAAUCGACGGAAAGUUCGUAAAGAACGAAAUUGCAAUUUUCUUCGUAUCUUUUCUUCCUUUAAAAGAUCGCUAGCUACGGCGUCGAGAAAUCGUAUAAGCUAGAAAGCUCUGUAUGGUAAUUGCUACAAAUAUAAUUCCCCAUAUUCUCGUGUA